This 301-nucleotide ribosomal RNA is filed under the name uncultured bacterium. RNAcentral describes it as "partial 16S ribosomal RNA". It matches the Rfam family "Bacterial small subunit ribosomal RNA", at positions 509 to 807 of the family's 1533-position model. The record is from RNAcentral.
CAGCCGCCACGGUAAUACGAAGGGUGCAAGCGUUAAUCGGAAUUACUGGGCGUAAAGCGUGCGUAGGCGGUGAGUUAAGUCUGCUGUGAAAUCCCCGGGCUCAACCUGGGAAUGGCAGUGGAUACUGGCUCGCUAGAGUGUGUCAGAGGAUGGUGGAAUUCCCGGUGUAGCGGUGAAAUGCGUAGAGAUCGGGAGGAACAUUAGUGGCGAAGGCGGCCAUCUGGGACAACACUGACGCUGAGGCACGAAAGCGUGGGGAGCAAACAGGAUUAGAUACCCCCGUAGUCCCUGUCUCUUAUAC